This is a long non-coding RNA of Diospyros lotus (date-plum), 4121 nucleotides long. RefSeq lists it as uncharacterized. The record is from RefSeq and is a predicted model, not a curated record. The transcript has 3 exons. Lineage: Eukaryota; Viridiplantae; Streptophyta; Magnoliopsida; Ericales; Ebenaceae.
GCCCCUCUGAAAAUUUUAAAUCAGAGGAGAGGGAGAUCAAGGAGAGAGUCAAGAGGGCUCGGGAGAGCUCGCGACAAAGCUUGCGAGAGAGAGAGAGAGAGAGAUUUGUGAGAGAAAGGGGAAGAUCGGCCAUGGCAGUGGCUGCCAUGGUCGACGAUGAAGGGAGUAGCGACAAGGAAGCGGCUAACGGUUGGCAAUGGUCGCGGGAGCAGCGAGGAAGAGGUCGAUGGUGGUGGAAGGCAGUCGCGACACGGUGGCCAGAAGCUUCUACGGUCGGCCAUGGCGGACGCGGGGACAGCAGCAACGAAGUGGCAGCGGCGGGCGGUGGCUCACGCCUGCGACAGUGGACGGCGGCAGCGGCCGUGGCAAGGCGACUGAGAGCGACCGGCGAAGGCGGCACCGCCGGCAGUAGCUGGCCCGAGUGGCGAUGACCGGUGGCCUGCGCGCAGAGGCGUUGUCCAUGCGUGGAAGAAGAAGAAAGCGCAAGGAAGAAGAAGUCGUGCACGGGAAGAAAGAAAAAAAAAAUAGAAAAAAAAUAAAUAAAAAUAAAGGAAAUUCUGAAAAUUAAGGGGAAAAGGGAGAAAAAUGUCAAAAAAUUCCAGAAAAAUAGGGAAAGAGUCUGGAAAUUAUUUUGGGGCUUGAGGAGUGUGCCGGAAGCUCAAGAAUGGAAUUUUGGGCAUGAAAUGGAAGCUCGGGAAGCAACGUCGGCGUGGGCGUUUGGCGAUUUUUUCCUUCCAAUAGAAUGAGGUUCGACCGGGAGAGCGGUGAUCCUAGAAGAGCUCGGAGCUCCGGCAAGCAUUCUCGACGAGGCAGAGAUGAGGCUUCGAGCCAGAUGAUGCAAGUCCGGAUGCAGGCAGGGAUGGCGCCGGGAGGCUGUUGUGGCAACUAGCUGUGUUGCCCGAGUUAUGUAUUUUUAAUAUUGCUUGUAUGUAGCCAAGGGGCGUGGUGUAUGUAUACCUUUGUGAGUAAAUAUCUGUAUUAUUGAGCUUAAAUGUAUUUAAUUGUGUAAUCAACAUAGUGUGAUCGAUGAUUGUGAGAUUGCUUGUUGAAUGUGGCAUAGUCGGUAAAGCCAAGUUUCGGACCGAGUCAAGAUCAGCAAGGUAUGUUCUCAUAAAUCCCCAAUACUCAGCGAAGUGUUUAUAUGCUAGCUUUGUGCUUGAGUCACCUCUGGCUUGCUAUGGGGCGAGCUGAAGAGAAGUGAAGCUCACUCGGGUUUCGGGUCUUGGUCCGCUGGAUUUUUCUUAUUUGAGUUGGGACCGAUUCCUGAGUAGAGCGAAGGGAAGGAUGAAGCCUAAUUCCCACAUAGGGCGUUUCCUGUUGAAACAUAGUCCAACCCUUCAGUUGUGGUUGUCGGGUGAGUAAUCCGAUCGAUUAUUUACCGGUGGCGCCCGUAAGUGGGAGCGGAUCGUUACACAAGUGGGCAAUGGAGAUUUCAAUUGAAGCAACAAGAGAAUCAAACUUAUGAGAGUACCAAAAUUUAUAAUGCACGAACCAAAGCAUGGAAUGAUUCACUUAAAGGAGAAGGAACUUCAAAUUAAGAAGUGAUAGUCAAGCUAAUGACUAUAAAUAAGCGCUUUUUGGGAGGCAAUCCAAAUUUAUUUUUCAUUUGCUGCAUUUUAUUUUCUUUUCUCACCCCAAUUUUUAAUCUCAUAUGUGUUCUUUAAUUUAGUUUUGCAUGUUUUGUAGGAAUAUCAAUUAAGAAGCAUUGAAGCACCACUCAUAUUCCUUCAAGACUGUAAUAAAAUCAGGGAAGUAUUUUUGUUUUUUAUAUCUUUUAUUUCUCUUACAAUAUUGAGGACAAUAUUGAGUUUAAGUUUGGGGGUAGAUGGAAAAUUUAAAAUUAAAAAAUAUGAUUUAAAAAAUAAAAAAUAAAAAAUUAUGUAAAAAAAAAAACUUAUUUGUUUUGUUUCGAUUUGAGGCUUGUUUGUUUGGAUGAUUGAAGAGCGUAUGAUAAAACUUGAUUAAAAUAAAUUAUGACUUUUUGAAAAUUCUCUACAUUACAAUAUAAUUUGUAUUUAAAGAUUGAGUUAGUUUAUUGUUCAUUUGGAAUUUUUGGAACAAUUUGAGCACAUAGCCUUGAGUAAUGAGUUGUUUUGUUAUGCAGAAAAGAUUUAUGUAAAUUUUGUAACUUUAAAUAGAUCUCAGCAAACUCUAGAACUUGCUUGAUUACCUCUCGAGACAAAAUCCUAGACAUUGCACAAUUAAGGGUAUGAUUUAGGCAUUCUUUGGAUUGAAAUUAAUAACCUUUAAACUUAUCAUGUAUUUUGUAUUUAUCCCUAGUUUACCCCUUUGAGCCUUGUAUGUAUUUGAGCAUUUUUCUUUGGUAAACCACAUUAACCUUUCUUUUAUAACCUAAACACCAAACCUACCCUUCAAAAGGAAUUGUUGGUGAAAAAAAAAAAAAAGAGAAGAUAUAAGUGUGAGUGAUAUAAAUUUAAGGGUUAAUUUAUUAAUAUUAAUGGAGCAGAGUUGGAAGCUACAAUUCCCACAUAUAUGAUGAAAAUUAAGUUUGGGAGGGAAUGGUUGAUAGGGCUUAAUUGUAUAUAUAUUUUUAUCUUAAUUUUGUAUUAUUUUUCUUACAUAAAUGUGUGUUUAUAUGGAUUUUACAUUAUUUUAAUCUCUUUUUGUAGAAUUUGGCAUAGCAUAUUAUUUUGAAGAUUUGGGCAAAAAAACAAAAGAAAAAAAGUAUUAUAAAAUUAAUUUCAAAAUUAAUAUUAUAAAUGAAUAUAAUAAUAGAAAUAAAUAAAUAUUUUAAAUAAUUAAUAUUAUAAUAUAAUUAAAGUUAUUAUAAUUAAUAGUAUAUUAAUUAUAAUAUAUUAUAAUAUAUAUUAAAUUAUAAUAUUUAUAUAUAUGUAUUAUAAUUAUACCAACAGUAGCGUGAAAUUGGAGGACUCAAGCUAGGGCUACGUACAUGCCCAUACAUAUAUAUAUAUAUAUAUAUUAUAAGAUAGGAAAACGGAAGGCACGCACAGGAGGAAUUGAAGAUAAAAGCGGACAUAGUGAAGAAGGAAGCAGUGGACACAGUGAAAAAAUUGGAGAGAUUUUGAAGCCGCGCGCAAAGCAAAAAAUUGCAAGGGAUGCUUCAUGCACGUAGCAGCAAUUCCAAUCCAGUGCAAUUGCGACCCAGAUCUAUUUUAGAUCUGCGCAGGAAACAUCUCUCUCUUUUUCAAUUUCAGUGUUUAUUUUUAAUGUUAAUAAUUUCUAGCUAAAUUAUUUUAGUUAGGGUUUGGAUGGAUUUUAAUUUUGGGAUUAUAUGAUUAUUUGUUUAGUUCGAUUCAAAACCCGAUUAUUAUUUGCAUGAGGAAUUUAUAUUGUUGGGUUUAAUAUUUUAAAAGAUUGGUCACCUUUUAAUGAUUUAUUCAUGAUUGGCUAAAGUAUUGUUAUAAAUUAGAUUCAUAGGCAAUAAAAUCACAUGUUAAACUAUGAUAUCAAAAGAUGAUUAGUUCAUUUGUGAAAAUCGAGGAAGCUUAGUGAGUUAAAUCCCCUUUCUAGAUUAGAGAUUUCCAAAGAACUUAAUACUUAUUUAUUUCGUUGAUAUUUGUUCAGAAAUCUGACAGUGAAAUUGAAUUAAUAAAGGAUUAAUAUGACUUGAGAAAUCUUAUUAAUUAAUUGAGGAAAAUCCACUAUUACAUGCAAAUAAUUAUAAAAUACUAUAAGGGUAUUUGUGGUUUUGAAUCGGGUUGAAUAGAUAAUUACAUAAUCCAGAUUAAAUGAAAUUUAAACCCUAGUGCAUUAAUUAAUUAAUUAUUCUCACGAAGAAUUCAGUUUUUUCAUUUAUUUUUUUUAUUCAUCUGAUUAAUUAAUUAGUUCAACUUAGGCUAAAUUAAAAUUGUUUUGGUAUAAAUAUACUUGUUAAGCCUUGUAACUCACUUUGUUGUACUCUCGUGUCAUUCCAGGUAAAGGUAAAGCAGUGGUUGAGGGCGAGUCUAGUGGGACUAGAGCCCAAGGUUAGAGGUGUACAGAGACCUUCCAGAUUAAUUGGUCCAUGUUAGUGUUUGUGAAGAAGGCAUGUGUGAGGGAAUUUUAUGUUGUAAAAUUUGUUAAUACCCUUGUAUUUCAUUUUUGUGUAGGCCAUAGUGCCAAGAUGUUGUAAACCUUUAUGUUGGCUUCUGCUGAAUUUA